This 379-nucleotide ribosomal RNA is filed under the name uncultured eukaryote. RNAcentral describes it as "partial 18S ribosomal RNA". It matches the Rfam family "Eukaryotic small subunit ribosomal RNA", at positions 592 to 975 of the family's 1831-position model. The record is from RNAcentral.
CAAUAGCGUAUAUUAAAGUUGUUGCAGUUAGAACGCUCGUAGUCGGAUUUCGGGGCGGGCCGGCCGGUCUGCCGAUGGGUACGCACUGGUCGGCGCGUCCUUCCUUCCGGAGACCGUGCCUACUCUUAACUGAGCGGGGGCGGGAGACGGAUCGUUUACUUUGAAAAAAUCAGAGUGUUUCAAGCAGGCAGCUCGCUCUUGCAUGGAUUAGCAUGGGAUAAUGAAAUAGGACUUUGGUGCUAUUUUGUUGGUUUCGAACACCGAAGUAAUGAUUAAAAGGGACAGUCAGGGGCACUCGUAUUCCGCCGAGAGAGGUGAAAUUCUCAGACCAGCGGAAGACGAACUACUGCGAAAGCAUUUGCCAGGGAUGUUUUCACUG